This 645-nucleotide ribosomal RNA is filed under the name uncultured archaeon. RNAcentral's name for it is "bacterial SSU rRNA". It matches the Rfam family "Archaeal small subunit ribosomal RNA", at positions 143 to 791 of the family's 1478-position model. The record is from RNAcentral.
GAGAUAAUACCUGAUAGAGGAUAAAUACUGGAAGGUUUUAUUCUUCAAAGCUUCGGCACCUGAGGAUGGGACUGCGUCGGAUUAGCUUGUUGUCGGGAUAAUUACCCGACAAGGCGAUAAUCCGUACGGGUUGUGAGAGCAAUAGCCCGGAGAUGGAUUCUGAGACAUGAAUCCAGGUCCUACGGGACGCAGCAGGCGCGAAACCUUCACAAUGCCUGAAAGGGUGAUGAGGGAACUCUGAGUGACUUCGCAAUGCGAAGUCUUUUGCCAAGUGCAAAAAGCUCGGUGAAUAAGUGGUGGGCAAGACAGUUGCCAGCCGCCGCGGUAAUAACUGCGCCACGAGUGGUGAUCUCGUUUAUUGGGCUUAAAGCGUUCGUAGCCGGUUUUAUAAGCAUCUGGUGAAAUCCGAUAGUAAACUAUUGGGCUGGCUAGGUGUACUGUAAGACUAGGGACCGGUAGGGGCCGGGAGUACUCCUAGGGUAGGGGUUAAAUCCUUUAAUCCUAGGGGGACUACCAGUGGCGAAGGCGCCCGGCUAGAACGGGUCCGACGGUGAGGGACGAAAGCUGGGGGAGCGAUCCGGAUUAGAUACCCGGGUAGUCCCAGCUGUAAACGAUGCCCGCUUGGUGUGGUGAAACUUUCGUGGU